UACGUAGGGUGCGAGCGUUGUCCGGAAUUAUUGGGCGUAAAGAGCUUGUAGGCGGUUUGUCGCGUCUGCUGUGAAAAUCCGGGGCUCAACUCCGGACUUGCAGUGGGUACGGGCAGGCUAGAGUGUGGUAGGGGAGACUGGAAUUCCUGGUGUAGCGGUGAAAUGCGCAGAUAUCAGGAGGAACACCGGUGGCGAAGGCGGAUCUCUGGGCCAUUACUGACGCUGAGGAGCGAAAGCGUGGGGAGCGAACAGG
This 253-nucleotide ribosomal RNA is filed under the name uncultured bacterium. RNAcentral's name for it is "partial 16S ribosomal RNA". It matches the Rfam family "Bacterial small subunit ribosomal RNA", at positions 524 to 776 of the family's 1533-position model. The record is from RNAcentral.